Molecule: ribosomal RNA, 364 nt
Filed under: Streptococcus sanguinis
Lineage: Bacteria; Bacillati; Bacillota; Bacilli; Lactobacillales; Streptococcaceae
Description: bacterial SSU rRNA
Rfam family: Bacterial small subunit ribosomal RNA
Source: RNAcentral
GUGCCUAAUACAUGCAAGUAGAACGCUGAAGAGAGGAGCUUGCUCUUCUUGGAUGAGUUGCGAACGGGUGAGUAACGCGUAGGUAACCUGCCUGGUAGCGGGGGAUAACUAUUGGAAACGAUAGCUAAUACCGCAUAAAAUUGAUUAUUGCAUGAUAAUUAAUUGAAAGAUGCAAUUGCAUCACUACCAGAUGGACCUGCGUUGUAUUAGCUAGUUGGUGAGGUAACGGCUCACCAAGGCGACGAUACAUAGCCGACCUGAGAGGGUGAUCGGCCACACUGGGACUGAGACACGGCCCAGACUCCUACGGGAGGCAGCAGUAGGGAAUCUUCGGCAAUGGGGGGAACCCUGACCGAGCAACGCC